Molecule: long non-coding RNA, 423 nt
Filed under: Crocodylus porosus (Australian saltwater crocodile)
Lineage: Eukaryota; Metazoa; Chordata; Crocodylia; Crocodylidae
Description: lncRNA (ENSCPRG00005010157.1)
Source: RNAcentral
CAGAGAACAUUUCAAUGAACUCUCUGGAGAAGUUAAAAGUUUCCAAAAGAGCUCGCAAAGAGUGUGUGUCUGUGGGAGCAGGCAGCUUUCCUACUGUCUCUCCCCUUUGCUGAUCUGGAGUCCUGCCAUCCUCUCCAAGACAUACACCCAGGAAGAGGUUCUUGGAUUCCUUCUACACUGACUCUUCUAUCCUGCCAGUGAGUGGGCGUGGCAGACGGCAUGAAACGUGCAUCAUGGAGACCAACUGAUGACUACAGGAAUGGUGCUUCGAGCAACAGGAAAAGGAAAGGCUAUUUUGGGCAACUAUCAAGCUGUAACUAAUAAAUGUUGAACGGUAUGUGCUAUAAAAAGUGACUAAAACUAUAUUCUUAGCCAUUGUCAUGAACGUUUCUGUUUUUGUUUUGUUCUUGACCACAAGAUGUC